AUUGGUACCAGCAUAGCGGG
This 20-nucleotide unclassified non-coding RNA is filed under the name Mus musculus (house mouse). Its description in RNAcentral is "oocyte_clustered_small_RNA124". The record is from RNAcentral. Lineage: Eukaryota; Metazoa; Chordata; Mammalia; Rodentia; Muridae.